ACUAGGCUAGUUUACCACACACACACACCACCACCAACAACAACAUGAAGGAAAAAAAUUAAAAGCAAAAACAAAGAAAAAGCAUAAGGCAAAUUGCACUUUAAUUAUGAGUCUACAUUUUCAUUUGAGCAACUCAAUUAGCUUUCCUUUCAAUUUCCUUGGUUUCCUAACAAAUUGUAUAAGCUGAUCUGCUGAUGCUCUUGGUCAUUUAAAUGUGUUCAUGCAACUGGCAAUAAUGAAUUUCUACUACCUGUUUUGAGCUUAUUAUUGGGUUUACAUUAUUCAUUUUACUUUUGGUUAUAAUUAUGAUUUAUGAGCAAGCAAUUUUAUAAAAAAUUGAUGGGAUGUUUAAUAACAUAUAUAUCUCAGGCUUCAGACUCUAGAGCAAAUUUAUGGUGUAAUUUGUGUUACUUGGAGAAAUUUGUUUGUUUAAUCUCAGAGAAAAAGUAUGUUUAAUGCAUUGAUGAGGAACAGAAUAUAGAACUUCUUUCACUUGCUGACAAAAGUAAUCCUUCAUGUGUUAGUUUUAUGGAGCCUUUUUCUAACUUGAAUAUCUAUGAUCAAAGUUAAUUUCAUACUUUCCUCUUCUGCUAGCAAUAUAGAACAGUAUGGAUUCUUCUGUUCCAAUCUACUUUUUAUAGGUGAGAUAAGUGAUUUGACCAAUUAUACUUCGUUAUCGCUAUCUUGCAUGGCUGUUUCCUAGCUUGUGAAAAGUAGUUGGCCAAUUUCAUUGCUAAUAUAACUUAAUCUUCC
Molecule: long non-coding RNA, 753 nt
Filed under: Panax ginseng (ginseng)
Lineage: Eukaryota; Viridiplantae; Streptophyta; Magnoliopsida; Apiales; Araliaceae
Description: long non-coding RNA (PGIN_LNC015843)
Source: RNAcentral